This 354-nucleotide long non-coding RNA is filed under the name Homo sapiens (human). RNAcentral's name for it is "HSALNT0370776". The record is from RNAcentral. Lineage: Eukaryota; Metazoa; Chordata; Mammalia; Primates; Hominidae.
CAGGAAGUGGGGCCAGCUCAAGGUGGUGAAGGACAACUGACUCAGGUGAAUAAUUCCCAAGAAGCCCUUCUCUCCGUCAGGUCCCACUUUGUACCUCGGUCCACACACCAGACACCACUUGGCUGCUGUCACCACGGGUGCGUGGGGAAGGGAGCUCCAAGUUUCGAAGGGGUGGCAGGUGACAGAGUUGACAAGUAUAACAUGGUGUGAUGCCUGCUAUUGCGGGCUCCAGGAGCGCUGAGGAUGGGUGUUUAACCCUUAAAGGUCGGAUGGAGAGAUGGCUUUCUGGAUGGGAGCAGCAGGUAAGCCAACCCCUGAACAAUAAUGAGCAUUCGUUUCAUAAAGAGACAGGGU